AGGGCAAGUCUGGUGCCAGCAGCCGCGGUAAUUCCAGCUCCAAUAGCGUAUAUUAAAGUUGUUGCAGUUAAAAAGCUCGUAGUUGAAUUUCGGGAUCAAUCUAUCGGUCGUGCAAUAGUACGUACUGAUUUUAUUGAUUCCUCCCUUCUGAUGAACUAUGAUGUCAUUAAUUUGGUGUCAUAGGGAAUCAGGACUGUUACUUUGAGAAAAUUAGAGUGUUUAAAGCAGGCUCACGCUUGAAUACAUUAGCAUGGAAUAACGAAAUAGGACGUUUGAUUCUAUUUUGUUGGUUUCUAGGAUCGACGUAAUGAUUAAUAGGGAUAGUUGGGGGCAUUAGUAUUCAAUUGUCAGAGGUGAAAUUCUUGGAUUUAUUGAAGACUAACUACUGCGAAAGCAUUUGCCAAGGAUGUUUUCAUUAAUCAAGAACGAAAGUUAGGGGAUCGAAGACGAUCAGAUACCGUCGUAGUCUUAACCAUAAACUAUGCCGACUAGGGAUCGGAUGAUGUUAAUUUUUUAAUGACUCAUUCGGCGCCUUACGGGAA
RNAcentral lists this ribosomal RNA (542 nucleotides) under uncultured Glomeromycotina. RNAcentral's name for it is "SSU rRNA". It matches the Rfam family "Eukaryotic small subunit ribosomal RNA", at positions 552 to 1096 of the family's 1831-position model. The record is from RNAcentral. Lineage: Eukaryota; Fungi; Glomeromycota.